UGAGGAUGGUGCACCUGUUAACCGCGACGCUUGUUCAUGCGUUCAACUGGGAGUUGCCGGAAGGCCAGGUGGCGGAGAAGCUGAACAUGGAUGAGGCAUAUGGGCUGACCCUACAACGAGCCGCCCCACUCAUGGUGCACCCACGGCCAAGGCUGUCACCCCAAGUUUUCGGGAAGUAAAUGAGGUUGUUUGCCCAUGAUUAAAAUAGAAGACUUGGUGAUGGAUUUGGCUGAAUAAUUAUGAUGUUCGAGAGCGAGUUUAGUAGUUUUGUGAUGGGUUUUCCCUCAACCACCUGCAUGUUAAUACUGUAAACGAUGAUUCUCAAGGGGUAUCUAAUAAUGCAAUAUGUUGGUUUAAAAUUUAAAAUAUUUACUUCACAAUAUCGAGCGUAGGAGAAGAAACUAGAAAGUCAUAUGAUGAAUAAUGUCCCCAAAACUCAAACAGAGAUCAUCACAAUCUAAAGAGUCGUGCAAGGCGGCGAGUGUACCAACUACCAAUAAAAGCACGAAAGCUGAACAAGGAGUAGCUUCAUCUGUCAUCUGACCAACCAGCCUCCUCACAAAAUACCAUAUUCCAAGUCAAAGGUAGUAUAUAUGAUUUAUUGGACGAGAAGUUGAGGCUCCAAACAUCUUUAAUACAGCACCUUUCAAACAAGAUACUUGAAAAUGUACAAAAUCACCUCAUCUCGAAACCAGGAUUAUAAAAGAAGACGACCUCCCGGACCUAUCAGAUGACCUGAUCGUACAAAAUCACCUCAUCCCGAAACCAAGACUAUAAAAGAAGACGACAUCCCGUACCUAUAAUAUGACCUAAUUGACCGACAUGUGUCUAAAAAGACGAGUCCAAUUACCCUUAUCCCCUUUAUCCUUAUAUGCACAAAAGUCAAUAAAGCCUACCGUAAAAAGUGUGCUGAAACAACUCCUUCAUAAAGAAAGUAACUUUAAAAGAGAAGUCUCUUCCUCCUUAAGGGCUCUCUCUCUCUCUCUCCAUCUUAAAGAAGAGAAAAUGUAUCUUUGUAUCCAAAAUGAUUGAAUAAAAUAUCUAAUAUGUUUCUUGAAGAAUUUUAGCAUAUUGAAGAAGUAUCAUAACUCCUAAUAGAUUUAAUUAUCACUAAAAUUAUUGAAAUAAAACCUCUAGAUGUGUUGUGAUCAUGAAUGCUUAAAUACAGUAAUUUUUAUUUAUUUUUAAAAUAAAUAAUAAAUUAAUUAAUUUAAUCUUAUAUAUUCUCUAGAUCAUGUGGUAUCUUUUAAUUUUUUAAUAUUAAUUUUUUUACAAAUUAAUUAUCAAAUUUAUAAAAACCCCAUGAAUAAUUGACUAAAUCGAUUCUUCCCUAACUUUCAAUAUCUUUCAUAAAUAGGUAAUUUUUUAAAAUAUUAAAGAGUAGCGUGGAAACUAAUUAUUAAUCUAAUUACGAUAUUAAAUAAAUAAAAAUUAGAUAUUUUUGAAAUUCAUGUACUAUAUAGUUAUUUUUUCAUAAAUAAAUUCUUAUUUGUAAUUAAUAAUUUACAUUAAUAAAAAUUUAUAACAUUACUUAUAUCAUCGUAAUAAAUUUAAAAAAUGUGGACUUUGUUGAGGCCUCGCGUCCGUGGUAAUCCAUGUAGUUGCCAAAUGGAUGGACGCACGAUCUCAACCAAUAUAGAUUUCUGGUUUAGUCGUUCCUGCAAAAGGCGUCUGGACAGGGUGUCUGGAUACACCCUCCGAUGGUAUUGUCAGCCAUGGUCCAAGAGAUAAAUCAGUUGGCCUUUUACUAGGUAUAUCAAAACUUACCUUCCUCUUUGUGCGAAGGUCCAUAUAUAUCGUCUCAGAAGCUCUAUCUCCCUCUUUAAUGAUAGAGAGAUAUUUUGGCUUGUCAUGAUGUCUCUAGGUGGUGACAGGGUCAUCAUCACUCGUAGGGCGGCUGACAAAGAUCGUGGGAGGCGCCGCAGCUGUCAGAGAUCGUAGGAAGUGACUUGCCAUCAUUCCUGUCCUUUCACUCUGCAGGUGGCGGAACGUGGGCCGUGAAAGACUGUCGGAAUGACGUAGUAAGACUUGCUUACUUUAGUCAACGAUCCGGACAAACAUAUCCGGAUAGGAUAUGUCAGUCGUUCGGAUGUGAUAUGACGAUCGUCCGGAUGUGAUGUUUGCGAGUGUCAUGUGCUUCUCCCUGAGGAAGUCCGGAUAUGAGAAGCGCGUCACGUGUCUCCUUUGGGGGAAAUCCGGAUGGAGCUAAUCCGGAUAGAAAUGUGUGCCACUUGUCAUCAGGGGGAGGGGUCCCUACAGACUUGUCGUUCAUUUCUUUCUCUCUCAAUAUAUUAUUAAAUACAUAAAUUAAUAAUAUUUAUUAAAAUGAUAUUUGCAAGUUGGGGGUGGGAUGAGAACUAUUAAAUACAUAAAUUAAUAAUAUUUAUUAAAAUGAUAUUUGCAAGUAGGGGAUGGGAUGAGAACUCGUGUUGGGAUUUUUGAUCCUAAACGUCUAAUUGAAGGGAUUUUGAAAAAAAAUAUUUAUUAAAGUAUAUCAAUUUUAAAACCAUUUUCAAAUCUACUAUAUUUUUUAUAAUAUCAAUUAAAAAUUAUCUUUUUAUAAAACACCAACUUUAAAUCAAAUAUGAAAAUUAUUUUGUGAAAAAUUAAUUUUAAAAUUCAACUAAGUUUUCUCUUCAGAAAACAACUUUUACUUUAAGUUUUUGAAAGUACUAUACAUUUGGAAGUAGUUUCAAAAGUGUGAUAUUUUAAUAAAUAUUUUUUAAAAUUGCAAUAUUUUUUUCAAAAUCUUGACACUUAAGAUAGAGUGGGCAAGCAUGGGAAAAAAAUUUACAUACACUCAAAUUUAUGUCUUAGACUAGGAACUGAAAAAUUGUGGGGCAUAUGGAUAAUACAAAAACAAUUAUCUUACUUAGAGUUACUUAUUAUUACUUAUUAUUACUUAUGCAUUAAUUAAAAGGAAAGUGUUAAGGUAUCCAAAUGCUACAUAUAGAACUUCAAAUUCGGACUAAAUUGAAUAUAUAUAUAUAUAAUGAUAUUUAAGUAAUGAAAAUUCAAACAACUAGGAUUAUGGUAUAAGAAUAGGAAUAAAUGAGAUUAUGAUACAAAUAAUAACAUUUGAAAAUGUAUACCUAAGAUCAUUUUAUUGAGUUUUUUCAUACAUUUAUUUGAGCUUAGGAUUGCAGAUGGUGCAUGUUGGGAAGUGUCACAAAUUCCUAAUUAGUAAAGAUUGAGAGAUAUUCAAUGGAACGAGAUGACUCGUGGUUCAAGGUGUAAAUAUAAAGAGUGAAAAUAUAUUUUGAGAACCUAAUAAUUAUAUUUGGUUUUGUCCUCUAUAAUGUUCUCUGUGAUAUAAUGAAAAGAUUUUCUCUCGUCCGUGAAUAUAGGUAUGAUUGAUCAAAUCACGUUAAAACCUCAUUGUAGCCUACUCUCUACGGUGAAUGGUUUGUUUUUGUUUUUUGUUUUUAUUUAUUUAUUUAUUAUUUUGUUCUUCUGACCACCCGGAAUCAUUAAAACCUCGUUGUAGCGCCCCUGCCUCCUGUGAAAGGGUUUGUUUUUGUUUCUAUUUUUUUUUUUUUUUUUUUUGUUAUUCUGAUCACCUCGGAAUUAAGCUGAUGGGGCGACCAAAUACGAAAGGGGAGAGAGAGAGGGAGUUUUGGGCAAACAUGAUUCCGAAAUUCACGGAAUCAUUAUUCUUAUUUUAAAGUCUUGGGCGACGGUGAAUAACUUUUUAAAAUUUCCUAAAAUUUUAAAGUCUCAAAUUUAUUUAUUUAUUUUAAAAAUACCAUUCUCAAAAUAAUUUUCUAAAAUUUGAUUUUAAAAAUUUAGUUUUCAAAACUUUAAUUCUCGAAAUUCACUCUUCUAAAACUCCAUUUUUUAAAAUUUAAUCAUUUAAAAUUCAAUUCUUGAAAUAAUUUUCUAGAAUUCUAAUUUUAAAUUUAAUUUUCCAAGAUUCAAAUUUUUAAAAUUUAAUUUUCCGAAAUUUCCACAAUCCCGAAUUUAAUUUUUUAUUUUUUAUUUUUUUAUGUCACAUUCAAAUAAAUUUUCGAAACUCCAAUUCCUUUUUAUUCAUUUACUUAUUGAUUUUUAAAAUUCCAUCUUUUAAAUAACUCUUCAAAAUUCUGUUUUUAAAAUUUAAUUCCAAUUUCCAAAAUUCCAAUUUUCGUAUCAAUUUAUUUAAUCAUUAUCACUUUAUUCAUUCAUUUAUUUGUUUAUUUUUUUAAAAUUCAAUUUUUAAAUAACUCUUCAAAAUUUCAUUUUUUAAAAUUUAAUUCCAAUUUCCGAAAUUCCAAUUUUCGUAUCAAUUUAUUUAAUCAUUAUCACUUUAUUCGUUUAUUCAUUUGUUUAUCUUUAAAAUUCAAUCUUUAACUCUUCAAAAUUUCGAUUUCUGAAUUUAAUUCAAAUUUCCAAAAUUCUAGUUUUCUUAUCGAUUUAUUUAAUCACUAUCAUUUUAUUCAUUUAUUUAUUUGUCUAUUUUUAUCAAAAUUCAGAUUUCCAAAUUAAGUUUCCAAUUUCCAAAAUUCCAUUUUUUUCAUUUACUUAAUCAUCAUUAUUUUCAUUAUUAUCAUUAUUCUAUUUAUUUAUUUCAAAAAUUCCUUCUUCAAAUGAUUCCAAUCUUAUGACUUUCGAAUUUAAUUUCUAAUCUAAAAAAUUUCAAUAUUUAUGUACGUUUUUCCCAAAACCCCAAUUUCCGAACUUAAUUUUCCAAAUUCCAAAAUUCUAAUUUCCUUCAAAUUUACUCUCCAAAAUUCUGAUCAUUAAAUUUAAUUCCCAAGACUCUAACUCCCAAAUAAAUUUCAAAAGUCCAGUUUUCACUCGAACGGUUUUGAUUCCACUCUAGUUUUCAAAUAAUCUUCUUUUUCUUUUGAUUUUAUAUAAGCGUGAAUGCAAUUUUCAUAAUUCCAAAAUAAUGGAAUUUGUGAUAUUAAUUCAUGCAAGAUUAAUCGGGCUUUGGUAGGGGCCCACAUAUGAGUUUUCUCUUCUGAUUGUAAAUUGUUAUGCUUGAUGAGUAUUGUUUGAUCUUUGUCUUGCUCUUUGAUAUGCAUGUGAUGAUUUUAUAUCUGAGCUAACCUUGUUUCCAUGAUAAUGCACUAUUACCUGCUGUCAAGAUACGCUCCCACUCCCGCUUUGCUUACUCUUAUGCGCGAUUCGUUUUAUUAUUUGAUCAUUUCAUUAAUAUCCAUUGACUUCCUUAUCAAUUGCCACACUUCCUUCACCUUAUUUAGUAGAGAUCCGAAUUUAGGGACUUAGAGGGGUGCUGCGGUCCUUAUCAUACCUUCCCGAUAAGUAACCUGACCCCCGAGCCUAAUCCGGUUUUUCACAGACCACCUUUUUCGAAAUAAUGAGUCACACUUAGGGUUUUAUUUCUUAUUUUAUUUACCCUUUAAAAAUAAAACAAAAAUAAGUAGUGACUCCAAGUCCUUUUUUAAUCAAUAAAUCAUUUUUUAAAAAUAAAAAUUGAACUCGCCAUCGAGUGGAAGCGCAUGAGCCGAAAUGCGGGGUCCACACUUACGUAAUCUAACAUUAUUUAUAUUAAAGCUUUUGUUAACGCAACAAACUAGUCUUCAAAUUGAUGAAUGGGGUUUUUUUUUUUUUUUUUUCNNNNNNNNNNNNNNNNNNNNNNNNNNNNNNNNNNNNNNNNNNNNNNNNNNNNNNNNNNNNNNNNNNNNNNNNNNNNNNNNNNNNNNNNNNNNNNNNNNNNNNNNNGGGGUUUUUUUUUUUUUUUUUUCUCAUUCAUACUGUGGACCCCGCAUUUCGGCUCAUGCGUUUCCCACUCGAUGGCAAGCUCGAUUUUUAUUUGAAAUUUUGAUUUUUAUUUGAUAAAGAAAAAUGACUUGGAGUCGCCACUUAUUUUUCUUUUAUUUUUAAAAAGGUAAACAAAAUAAGAAAGAAAAACCCUAAGUGUGACUCCUUAUUUUGGAAAAGGUGAUCUACGAAAUAUCGGAUUGGGUUCGGGGGUCAGGUUACUUAUCGGGAAGGUACGGUAUAAACCGUAGCACCCCUCUAAGUCCCUAGAGUCGGGUCUUUACUAAUACAAUGAAACUGACGUGGCAAUCAACGAGAAAGUCAAUGGAUACACACCUAAAUUAUACACAAUAUGGGAAUCAAAACACGCAAUAGAGAUUGACUAGAAUGAGAGUGGAUGCGUACCUCGACCACAAGCCACAAUGCGCUAUCAAGAAACGGGAUUAGUGCACAAUUAAGGAACACAAAAAAUAGCUCAUGCAUAUCGGAGUGCAAAACGAAGCUCAAGCAAAAUACAUUAAGAGCCCGUUUGGCAGUGAUUUUUAAAAGUGUUUCUACCCUUAAAAACACUUUUAAGUGUUUUUGGGAUGAAAAUAAAGUGUUUGGCAAAUUUUAAAAAACACUUUUGAAAAUCUGGAAAAACACUUGAAGUGAUUUUUAGAGAAUCACUUGAUAGGUGUUUUUUUAAAAAAAACACUUCAAUUUUUUUGAAAUAUUCCAAAAAUGCCCCCCAGUGAUAAAUCAAUUAGAAAAAUCUUUUUUUUUUUUCCAGAAAUUAAUAGGUGGUCAUAUAUUGUUUUACUUUUAAAAUUAUCUUUUAUUCAAUGUUCUUUUUUUUUUUUUAUUGAUUUAGAUGUUUUUUGUAAAUAUUUUUUAAAAUUUUAGUAUAGUGAUAAAAAAAUUAUUAUUUUUAAUUAGAAAAGUCUUUUUUUUUUUUUAGAAAUUAAUAGGUAAUCAUAUAUUGUUUUAAUUUUAAAAUUAUCUUUUAUUCAAUGUUAUUUUUUUAGUGAUUUAGAUGUUUUUUCAUUAAUAAAAAGUUUUUUUUGUUUAUCAUACCAUUUUUUUUUAAUUAAAAUUGUAUGUCCUUUUUGGUAAUUUAUUAAUAUUAAAAGUGUUUUUAUAUUUAUACAAUAUAUUAUCAAAAACACUUUAGAAUCAUUUUUUCUGAUUAUCAUAAAAGUGUUUUUCACAGAAACACUAUAACAGAAAACACUUCAAAUAAAAACACUUCCACUAGAAUCACUACCAAACGGGCUCUAAGUACGACAAUUGACAAUAAAAAAAGGAUCACACAUAGGGCCCCCACCAAAGCCCAAUUUAUUACUCAUGAACUAGUCUCACAAAUUCCGUGUUUUAGAAUUAUGAAGAAUUUAUUAUUGUUUAUGUAGAAUCAAGAAGAUCAGAAGAUUAUUUAAGAACCGGAAUAGAAUUAAAACUAUUCAAGUGAAAACUGGAUUUUUGGAAUUUACUUGAAAAUUGGAGUAUUGGGAAUUGAAUUUAAAAUAUUAGAGCUUCGGUAAUUAAAAUGAAAUUUGCCAAAGAAGAUGAGAAAUGAACUUUAGGAAAUUGAUUUGCGAGAAUAUGGGUUUUGAAAGUUGAAUUUGUAAUAAUAAUAAUAAUAAGGAGUGAACUUUAGGAAAUUGAACUGCGAGAAUAUAGAUUUUUAAUAAUAAUAAUAAUAAAAAAAAAUAAACUUUAGGAAAUUAAAUUGCGAAGAUAUAGAUUUUUAUUAAUAAGUAUAAUAAUAAUGAUAAUAAUAAUAUUAGGAAAUUGAACUGAGCGAGAGUAUAGAUUUUUAAUAAUAAUGCUAAUAAUAAUGCUAAUAAUAAUAAUAAUAAUAAUAAUAAUAAUAAUAAUAACCAUAAUAAUGAUAAUAAUAACAAUGAGGUUUUGGAAUAAUAAUAAUAAUGAUAACAAGAUUUUGAAAGUUGAAUUAAUAAUAAUAAUAAGAAUAAUAUUUUAAAAGUUGAAUUAAGAAUAAUAAUAACAAUAAUAUUUUAAAAGUUGAAUUAAUAAUAAUAAUAAGAUUUUAAAAGUUGAAUUAAUAAUAAUAAUAAUAAUAAUAAUAAUAAUAAUAAUCAUAAUAAUAAUAAGAAUAAUAAGAUUUUUAAAUAAUAAUAAUAAUAAGGUUUUGAAAGUUGAAUUAAUAAUAAUAAUAAUAAUAAUAUUUUAAACGUCGGAUUAAUAAUAAUAAUAAUAAUAAGAUUUUAAAAGUUGAAUUAAUAAUAAUAAUAAUCAUAAUAAUAAUAAUAAUAAUAAUAAGAUUUUGAAAUAAUAAUAAUAAUAAUAAGGUUUUGAAAGUUGAAUUAAUAAUAAUAAUGAUAUUUUAAAAGUUGAAUUAAUAAUAAUAAUAAUAAUAAUAAUAAUAAUAAUAUUUUAAACGUCGGAUUAAUAAUAAUAAUAAUAAUAUGGACUUCAAAAAAAUGGGCCUUAAUAAUGAUAAUAAUAGGCCUUGGACCUCAAAAAAAGGGCCUUGGGAAUGAAUAGUACAGGGGGCAUGAGGCCCUUCAUUAACGCGACUAGGCUUGGGCUUCCCCACCAGGCCCAUAUCCAUCAUCUUGGACAGGCCCCAAGCUCUAACUCCAUCACAUGCUUGGAUUGGGCCCCAACUCAAGCCCAAAUUAAAAGCAAACCCAAGAACACCAAAUUCUCUCACAGCCCACAUCUCCAACCUCCGCCUGGGCAUCACCAUCUAAAUACUCUGUGUCCUCGAGCUCACCGUCAACCUCAUCGCCUUCUUCAUCGGAACCCCACAUCUCAUCAUCCUCUUUCAAGGUUCGCCGCCCACGCGCACUCACACGCGCUUGCUCUGGUUGCCGAAGCCAAGGGUUGAACCAGUCUUGGACAGCCGCAAUAACGUCAGUGCGCGGGCAUCUGCUCAGUUCUCAUGUUAGACGAAGGAGAUGGGCCUUCCGAUCAGGGUUGAGGAGAAAAAGGGAGGAAGCGAUCCUGCUCGUUGGAGCAAUGCGCCAGGUGACCAUGGAGAUCGGUGGAGAAGUUACUCCUAGCCUCUGAGACGAGCAAUGGAGGAGGAGAAGCUCCACUGCCGCCAUUGAUUCAGCUGACUGGGCAAGCUUGAGGAGGCGGGUAUGAAGGAUGGCGGCCAUACAUGGCUAUGCGUGGCCACGUGAGAACGAGAGGAAUGAGUGCAAUGGACAAGGAAAAUGGGUUUGGAUAAGUUUAGAGAUAUGAUAUGCAUGGGCUGCUAGAGAGGAAUAUGAUGGAUGAACAUGGAGUAUACUAUGGAUGGGAAGGUAGGGAUGACUAUGCGCAUGGAGCUCCAUGCACACGAGAAGACAGAGAAUCAAAGGGUUAGUAUAGAUAGCAUGGGAUCUCAGACUUCAAUGUCUUCAAUAUUGCGUUCUCUGCAUCACUCCAAACAUGACGCUGGCUUUCAGGAUGGAGGCAAACAGAGCAAAGGAAAAAAAAAGCAAAACCAAGCAUGGAUAAUCGAAACAAAUGGAACCCAUAACAGCCUCAUGUUGUGCAUUAAUCCCUGGGCUUAGAUGGAGGUGGGUGAAAAUAAAGGAUCAUCAAACAAAACCAGAGCAUGGUUGCAGAUAUAUUAUGGGGAAAAACAAAGACGAAAUCACCUUAAGCAAGAACCAUUAAGAAGGGAUAUAUGGAUAUGCUUACCCUCAACACACAAACAUCACCCAAGAAUGGACAGAGAAAGAGAAGAGAACCAUACCUGUGAGUGAUCUUCUCUAACAAGAUCGAGCCAAAAACUCAGCAAAGCAUCCCUCUUUUCCCUUGCUUAGCUUUCCACCAUUCUCUCCUUUUCUUCCUUUCACUAUCUCCCAUCUCUCCCUCUUGUCCCGUCUUUUCCUCUCUGGCCCCCCACUUACUCCUCCUGCCACAGCCCCAAAGAAAAGAUAUAUUUAUUAUUAUUUUUUCUUUGCUGGCAGCUUCUCCUCCGAGCUAUCUCUCGCCGCCACCAGCAGCUCGCCUCAUCCCAUCCCAUGGCCGCCCGUUUCCCAGGUGGUCAGUAUAUAUAUAUAUAUAUAAACAAUCAGAUGUCUCUCAUGGGGGGUCUACACAUACUUUUAUUCAUUCAUGUAUAGAGUAUAUAUGAAGGAUAAUCACCAUUCUAAGAAUGGGAAAGAAUGAUACAAGGAAGGAAUGAUAUAAGGAAAUAAUGAUACAAGGAAAGGAAUAAUAUAAGGAAAUAAUGAUACAAGGAAAGCAUUCCUAAUAUCUCAACACUCCCCUCUUAAGGAAAAAAUGAUACAAGGAAAGUAUUCCUAAUAUCUCAACACUCCCCCUCAAGUUGGUGCAUAGAUGUCACACAUGCCCAACUUGUUUAAAAAUUUUGAGAACACUUGUCUUGAGAUAGCUUUGGUGAGGAUAUCAGCCAAUUGAUCUUCUGAUUUAAUCUUAGGCAAUUCCACAAUCUUAUCAUCCAACUUCUCCUUAAUGAAGAAUCUAUCCACCUCGACAUGCUUUGUAUGAUCAUGUUGUACUGGAUUAUGUGCAAUGUCACAUGCAACAUUAUUGUCAGAAAACAAUCGGAUUGGUUGCCUAGAUAGGUAACCUAAAUCCUGUAAGAGGAGUCUUAGCCAUAAUGCCUCACAAAGUCCUAAAGCCAUACCCCUAAAUUCUGCUUCUGCACUUGAAUGAGCAACGACAUUAUGCUUCUUACUUUCCAUGUCACAAGAUUACCACCUACAAAGAUAAAGUAACCAGAUGUAGACCGCAUAGCAUCCACUGUACCGACCCAAUCAGCAUCAGUAUAUACUUCUAUACUCUGAUGAUCAACAUUUUUAGCGAACAAAAUUCCCUUCCCAAGAGCAUUCUUCAAAUACCUCAAAAUACAUAUGAUUGCAUUCAUAUGUUGUUCUCCAGGAUUAUGCAUGUAUUGACUCACUAUACUCAGUGCAUAAGCAAGAUCUGGUCUGGUAUGAGCUAAGUACAUUAAUCUCCUUACAAGUCUUUGGUAUCUUCCUUUAUCGGUUGAUACUUGAUUAGGCUCAACACACAAUUUCAGACCUUUUUCUAUUGGUGUAUCCAAGGAUAGAAAUAUCGGUAAAUACGGAUAUAUCGGUACUUGGAUUUUACGGAUAUAUCGGAAAUAUCGGUGGAUUUUUCAUCAAAUAUCGGUGAGACAAAAAUUAUCCAAAAUUGAUGGGAAUGCUUAGAAAAAUCCAAAGAAUGAUAAAAUAAGCAAGAAUAUACAUGUUAAAGUUAUUUUAUAACUGUAAUUGACAUAAAUAUGGUCAAAGAAAAAAAUAUCGGUAAAUAGUUUACGAUACUUGGAUUUUAAGAAUAGAAAAUAUGAAAUUUGGAAUUGUACACUUAGAAAGUUAGAAUUGAGUUAAGAAAUAUUUGAUUUUAUUAAAUGAAAACAAUUUACACAUAAACAUAAUACAUAUGACAUUGCAAUGGUCCUUAAUACCAAAAUGAAGAUCGAUGUGGUUCCAUCAUAUUGUUAUUGUUAGAUGAAGGGAGCCCAUCUUGUUGAAGACAAUAUUCAUACCAGGACAUGGAGUUUCGAUAGUAUUGAUUGUAUGUACGAACAUGCCAUGCAUAAAUUUCUUGAGUCUACCAACAACUUGUCCAUGGAUAGGAAAUCCAAGGUUUUCCCAUGUGCUCGUUUGAAAUCCUUGUUGUUGCAACUGAUGUGGAAGGUAGUAUGGCAUUUGUGUGGAAGAAGGAUAGUUAUACCUUUCAUACUCUUCAUCAGUGGAACUUGAAAGAUUUUGAGGAGGCUGACCAUAACUCAUUGCAUAAGGGGCAUAAAUGUUGGCUUCGUUUGAUGAAUCACUGAAUUGAGUCUCUACACUCAUCGACUCAAAACUGGCCGACAAUGAGUCCUCGUUGUACAACAUCAUCCUUCGUUGUCUUCCUCUAUAUGGCUUUCCAAUGGCUCCAACACCUGGACCGGCUCUUCUAGAGCCGUGGUCUUCAUCUUGAGUACAAUGUGUGAAAUCAUCUUCACAAGUAAAUGCCAAUGGUUGUCCACUUUGUUGUUGUUGUCUAACAUCCCCUUCAUCAUUUCCAAGGUCGCUACCAUCAUUGGUCCCCUCUUCUCUUGAACCAUCAUAACCGGAAGCGGAGGCGAAAGUACCAGUAGCACUAGGUCUACUACUAUGUUCAACACUCGUGGAGUCAAAAGAAGGUCGAGAAGUGACUGCCGGCUGAGAAAUUCCUUGUCAAAAUGAAUAUCUCGUGUCUUGGCUGAAACUAUCAGUAUGAACUUCUUCGGAUAACACUCAAUCAACAUCAACACCUGCUUCUCGGACAUGUGCGGCAAUUCGUGGGUCGGGAUUUCCAUCUUCAUCAUCUAAAUGAAGAGGUCUAACCCAUUGAAACAAUUGGUUAUCUUCUUCUUCACCAACCUCAGUUGCAAUGUCAAGUAAAUCGAGGUAAUCUUUCUCUGCAACUUUGUCAUGUUCUGCUUCCAUGUCACGUAUCUUUAGUUUCAUGUUAUAAUAAUAGAAAACUAAUUGUUGGAGCAUCGGGUAAGCAAGCCGAUUUCUUUGUUUUGUAUGAAUUAAGGCAAACGUGCUCCAAUUUCUCUCACAAGCUGAAGAUGAUGCAGUUUGCGAUAAAGCCUUGAUGGCCAACCUUCUUAAUGUAGGAGUGUGAUUUCCAUACAUGAACCACCAUUCAGCUACAACCAAAUAAAUGAUAUCAAUACUUAUAUUGGAAAGUUACAAUAAUAUGCUAAUGAAAUGAAUUAUUAAUUCACAAAUAAUACUCACCGGGAACCAUUUCUGACCUCGAAGCAAUCGCUGCUCGAUCACCGAAUCCUCUUUUUGCAUCUCGAAAUAGUAUAAUCUACAUAUUAAAUAAUUGAAAGUGAAAAAGUUGAGUAAAUGAAAUUCAAUUAUUUAAUUUAUAUUAUAACUCUAAUAAUUUACCUCAUUUCCAAAUUGACUAAGACCUUCUGAUGUAGGAUCUAAUUUCGCAAAGACUUCAUGAACAGCUUGAAGUAGAUCAGGAUCAGUACCAACUCCACGUUUAUAUUGAAAUCUUGGAUUAAGAAAGAAUGCUACAAUAGUAAAGUAGAAAUGUAAAAUUAGAAUGUUAUGAAAGAAACAUAUUAAAUACCUAUAAAUUUCAAAGAUGAAUAAUACUUACCUGCUGCAUGAAGAGGAUGUUUAAGAGUUCUAUCCCAACGAUCUGCAAUUAUUUCUAACACCCAUUCUUUAGCAUUAAGUCGAAUGAGGUUCUCUUUCAUAACUCGAAUCAAUUCAUACACAAAUGGCAUUGUAGGAACAACUUCUGAAUCGACAAUGCGAAGAACUGUGUAUAACGCCUCAUAUAUUGACACUCACUUUCCCACUCUUUCCCAGUACGCAUGGUCAAACAUAAGUGAUUCAACUUCUUUGCCGAUUAAUGUGCGACUUAAGUUGUGUUGUGCCCAUUCAUCACUGAUAAACACUUUCUUCAAGUUUGCUUUCUUUUUCAAAAGACUGUCGAGGGCUAUAUAAUUGGUUGCAAAUAUUGUUGCUCCAGGACGAACUAUGUCUCCACCACACACCUUCCGCAUCUGUGCAAGCAACCAACCAUGGUUAUAAAUGAAGUUGGUUAUCUUUCGAGCCUUUGUAAUCACAUCUGCAACACUCGUCCUUUUACCGAUGUCUUCGAACAUUAAGUCGAUGCAAUGUGCUGCACACGGAGUCCAAUAAAGAUUGUAUUUUUUCAUUAACAACUUCCCCGCCUUCACAAAUGCCGACCCAUUAUCUGUAACUAUUUGGACCACAUUUUGUUUGCCAACUUCCUUGAUUACAUCCUUCAACAAACCAUAUAUGUAUUUGUUGUCCUUUAUAUUAUUUGAUGCAUCAACAGAUUUGAGGAAGAUUGUGCUACCUUUUGAAUAUACCAUGAAAUUAAUUAUGCUUAAUUUCGUGGGUCCAGUCCAUCCGUCAGACAUAAUCGUGCAUCCAUAAGUCUUCCACUUUUCUCUUUGAAUAUUGACAUAAGCUUCCAUGUCUUUGUACUCCAUAUCCAAAUACUCGUGUUUGAUUUCAUAAGGAGGCGGUGGUUCUAUACCCAUACCUACCAUCCAUAUAUAAUUAAAACAUAUAAGAACAUUUGUGGCAAUCAUACUAUAUAAAUAGUAAUGAUAUUGUUAAAAUGAAUACAACUUUUAAAAUUAUAGUAAUUACCUGCUUGUUGUGCACCAAUAAUCAUGUUCUUGAAGUGGUGAGAGUCUGCUUUAUUGGGCGGAACACUCUCAUAUAUGAAGAACUUACUGAUCAAAAGUCCCAUGGUUUCCUUGAUGGCACCACAUUUGAAAAGAUUUUUCAUAGUUUUCUGUCUUGCCGCUGAAGAUUUGUACAAUGAGGGUGCAUCAGGCAGUGAUGGAUCUGAAUAUCGAACACUUUGCGAUUUUCGCAUUUGCCUUGUUGUUGGAUUGGUUGGAUGUGAAGACUCGCCUAUUAUAAUUAUUAAAAUUAAACAUAUAUGCUAAUUUAAUAUUAUUGAUAAAGUUGAUAAGAAAUAGUAAUAAUUCAAAUUAAUAUUAUACUUGUUUUUCUUUUGCUUUUUAUAAAAUGUUCUUCUUGUUGUCGAUUCCAUUCAGCAGCUUUUGAUGCUUGAACCGCCUCUCUAUAAGCAUGUCGCUCAUCAGGGUGCAUGUCAGCCGGAUACAUAUACACAUCAUCAUCUCCAUCAUCAUCAUCACCACCAAGGUUCUCCUCAUCGUCCUCAUCAAUUACAUGUCUAUGUCUUCUUCCCAUUGUGUCUCGCAGUUCUGAUCGAAUCUCUUCUAUAUCUGCAGCUUUCUUCGCUUUUGCCUUAUUUUUUUGCUCUAGAAGUCGUCUUAUUUCUUGUUUCACUUCUGGAGGCACGUUAAGACACUUUUUUGUAUUUGAAUUAGGGUCUGUAUGUGAUAGGUGAAAUUUAAAACAAGUAAUCCCACCACUCUUUAUUGCCAACCCACAGUAAUUGCAUAUUGUUCCAUUUUUGUUCCCUUCCAUAGGUGUACAAUAUUUCCAACAAGGAUCUCGACCCAUGAUACCACUUUCACUAGCCAUUUUCUAAAAUUGAAUUAUGAAACUAAUAUCAAAUUUAAAAUUAUUAAAGAUAAAACAUGUAUGAAAUUUAAUAUUCAUGAAAUUGAUAAGAACUAAUAAAAAUUGAAAUUAAAAUUGAAUUAUGCACAUAUGAAAUAGAUAAACAUUACAAUAAAAUUUCAAUAUGAAUUAAAUUUAAAUUAAAUUAAAUUUGCAUAUUCAUGAAAUUGAUAAGAAUCAUUACUAAUAAAAAUUAAAAUUAAAAUUGAAUUAUGCAUAUAUGAAAUAGAUAAACAUUACAAUAAAAUUUUGAUAAGAAUUAAAUUAAAUUAAAUUAAAUUAAAUUUGCAUAUUCAUGAAAUUGAUAAGAAUCAUUACUAAUAAAAAUUAAAAUUGAAUUAUGCAUAUAUGAAAUAGAUAAACAUUACAAUUACAUUUCCAUAUGAAUUAGAUAAUAUCAAUUAAACUAUAUAUAACAAAUAAAAUUGAAUUAUACAUAAUAAAAUAAAUUUUAUGGAAGGUAAGACAUACCUUAAUUAGCCUUGACUUGGAGUUAAUCCCCUUCACCACCAAAUUUUCAAAAUAAAAAAAUUUUGCUAGAUCAUAUAAGAAUUUUGAUGUAUGAAAUGGAAUGGAAUGUGGGUAUUUAUAGGAAUUUUUUGGUCAAACUAGCCAUUGGAUGGUCAAAUAGUCGUUAUAAAUUAAUUUUAACCGUUGGAUCAAAAUUUGGUUCAAAUUUCACCAUUAGAUUUUCAUAUAACCGUUGGAAACACUCCAUAGCCCUUGGAUAAAGUGAAGAUUGAUUUUCCACCAUUGGAUCACAAAUCUGACCGUUGGAGGCCUUUACAAAUACACGGGUGAAAUCUGGGCCAUCAGAUCCUCAAAAAUUCAAAAUUGGCCAUCAGAUCAAAAUCAUUGGAGCUGGGAAAAAUCGGCGAUUUUCUCGGUAAAAAAUCGGCGAUAUAUCGGUAAAAUCGUCGAUUAAUCGCUGAUUUUUUCAACUCCUCUGGCAGCUUCUCCGCGCGUGCCUCCACUCUUCGAUUUUUUGCCGAUUUAUCGGUGCUUCACCGAUAUUUCGCCAAUAUAUCGGCGAUUUUGCCAAUUUUUGGCCGAUUUUUCCAUCGAUCGAUAAUCGGUGACGAUUAUUGUUUCAGUGCCGCCCGAUAUCCGAUAUUUAUUCGAAAUAUCAACGAUAUAUCCCGAUUUUUCAAUCCCUGGGUGUAUCAACAAGUUGACAUCCCGACAUUCCAGUCUCCUAUAAAAGAUUUAAGGCAUACUUUCUUUGAGACAGAAAAAUUCAUUCACUUGAUUGAGAAACUUCAAUCCCAAGAAAGUAUUUCGGAGGACCUAGAUCUUUCAUUUCGAAUUCUCUAGAUAGAUAAUUCUGUAGAGCUUUUCUUUCUUCAGGAUCAUUUCCUGUAACUACCAUGUCAUCCACAUAUACGAUGAGUGUCGUAAUCUUACCAUGUUGCUUUUUCAGGAACAAAGUGUGAUUUGAAUUACUUUGAUGAUAGCUAAAAGCUCUCAUUGACUUUGUGAACCUUCCAAACCAUGCUCUCGGGGAUUGCUUCAACCCAUACAAUGAUUUCUUCAAUUUGCACACCUUCUGACAUUGCUUUUCUGACCCCAUGCAUCCUGAUGGAAGAUCCAUAUAUACUUCUUCAGAUAACUCGCCAUGUAGAAAGACAUUUUUUACAUCGAAUUGUUGUAAUGGUCAAUCCAGGUUUGCAGCUAAAAACAGUAAUACUCGAACUGUAUUGAUCUUAGCUACAGGUGCAAAUGUCUCUGUAUAGUCAAUUCCAUAAGUUUGAGUGUACCCUUUUGCUACCAAUCUUGCUUUAAAACGUUCAAUACUACCAUCUGCCUUGUACUUCACAGUAUAGAUCCAACAACACCCAACUGGCUUCUUUCCUGGUGGACAUUCUACGAGUUCCCAUGUUUCAUUCUUCUAUAAUGAUUUCAUAUCUUCAUUCAUGACUGCUUUCCACCUUGGAUUAGCUAAGGCUUCCUGCACACUGUUAGGAAUAGUUACAAUAGAUAAUUGAUUUACAAAUGACUUAUUUGAUUCAGACAAACAAUGGUUAGAUACAUAGUUGCUCAUGGGAUAUUUGACAUUGGUAGACAAUUUAGGUUCAUAUGUGGGUUUAGGAAUAUCUCUAUUAUGACGGUGUGGAAACCGUUUUGUGAAUGGAUUAGGUUCCAAAUUAAGAACACCCUCAACAGACGACGAUUGGUUUGGUAUUUCAGUGAAGGCAUCUUUAGACCCAAAUUGCUCGGAUGGUUCAAUUGUACUGUCUCUCCCCUCUUUUAUCACUUCUUCAGCUUCUGGGUGGUCAUUACUACCUGGUUCACCCGCUUCUUUAUUCACUAGUUUAGAUUGUCCAUAUUCAUCCUCCUUAGAGAUAUCAUAAUCGAGAGUCUGAAUUUCCUUAUAGUACUCCCCUUGAAGUUCAGACUCAAAUGAAAAAUACAUUGAAUCUUCAUGAAACACCACAUCCAUUGUAAUAAACAUUCGUCGAGUUGGAGGAUGAUAACAUCGAUAUCCCUUUUUGUGCAAUGCAUAUCCAACAAACACAUAUUGCAAUGCACGGGAAGUUAACUUGGUGCGUUGGUGUUUGUGUAGAUGCACAAAUGCCAUGCAACCAAAAACACGAGGAGGUAGAUUUGGGAUGGUUGGGGCAACUACAACAUUAGUAAGAGCUUGGAGAGGUGUUUGGAAGUCAAUUGAACUGGAAGGUACCCGAUUGAUCAAGUAUGUAGCAGAUAUGAUUGCUUCUCCCCAAUAAGAUAUCGACAUUUUUGCUGCUAUCAAGGAAGCAUGAACAACCUCUAACAAGUGCCGAUUUUUUCGUUCAACGACUCCAUUUUUCUGGGGUGUAUUGGAACAAGUAGUCUGAUGAAUGAUGUCAUGUCCUUCCAAAUACUUUUGAAGAUCAGAAUUAUGAUAUUCUCCACCAUAUCGCUACGCAGAACCCGAACCUUUGCAUUGUAUUGAGUUUCAAUCAUUUUAUGAAAAUUUUGAAACAACAAGUUCACUUCAUCUUUGGUCUUCAUCAAGCAUAACCAGGUCAUUCUGGUACAAUCAUCAAUAAAAGUAACAAACCAACGCGAGCCUCUCAAAGUUGGGACUUUGGAUGGGCCCCAAACAUCAUAAUGUAUAACCAUAAAAGGAAGCGGACUUUUAUUCAAAAUUAACGGAAACGAAGUACGAUGACUUUUAGCCAAUUCAAAAAUAUCUCAACGAAAACCAGAAAUAUCACUCAUUGCAAACAAAUUAGGAAACAAUUUUUUAAAAUAGCCAAAGGAAGCAUGUCCCAAGCGUCGAUGGCACAACCAAAUUUCAGACUUUUUCUCCUCCCCCUCAAAUCCAUCUAUCAUCAAGGCUUGUCGUAAUUUAUUGGAAUCCUUUGACUGCAAGUCCAAGUAAUAGAGUUUUUCCACUUAAUACCACAACCAAUCGUCUGUCUUGUUUGGAUGUCCUUAAAAACACAAAAUUCAGGCCAAAAAAUGACAAUACAAGAUAAUGCUGCAGUGAUUUGAGAAAUUGACAAAAAAUUGUAAUCUAAAGAUGGAACAACUAAAAUAGAAUCCAAAUUCAAAGUAUCAGUAAGAGUUAAGGAUCCUUCCCCAAUGACUGGGGUUGUGUUACCAUUGGCUGUGGAAAUAAUUUUUUGUGAGGAAGGUAUAAGGGGUGAGACCUGUCUAGAAUCAAAAGUCAUAUGAUCUGUAGCACCAGAAUUAAUUAUCCAUGCACUAUUAAUAACAGGUGUAGAAGUAUUCAAAAACUUACCAUCAUAAUCUAUAUUGGCUACCAAUGCAGAGACAUUCUCAGUAACAUUAGCCUCUGUUUUUAUUUCGGCAAUAGCUGCAGUCGAGGUUUUCUUGGAAUUCUUCUUCCGUUGAUCACGAUUAUGAUCCCACCAGUCUGGAUAUCCCACAAUUUCAAAGCAACAACUCUUGGUAUGACCAGUCUUAUUGCAGUGAGUGCAUUUGAAGGUUGACUUAUCAAUAUUAGGGCCCGUCUUAGGAUGGUUGGUCUUGGAUUGGUCCUGCCAAUUCUGGGUUGAUCGCUGUCGGACUACCAUAGAUGAGGUGUCAGGAUUGUCAUAUUAUGUUUUCAUACUAGCAUGACGCACUGCCUCUCGUCGAAUCAGUGCAUAGCAUUCUUCCAAAUUGGGAAGAAGAUCUUUGCGUAGAAUCUCUCCUCGAACUUGCUCAAAGUCACCAUCCAAUCCAGCAAGAAAGAUGUGCACCCAUUGUUGUUCAAUGGAUUUCCGAUAUGUUGUAAUGUCAUCAGGGUCUUUCAUGACCACCUUAUCCCGAUGAUCCAAUUCGCAAAAAAUCUCAGUUAACUCUCCGUAAUAUUCAGAAAGAGACCUGCCGCUUUGUUUGGAAGUGAAUACUUUUUUUAUUCAAAGUGAAAACUUGUAAUUCAUCGCUUCCAUCAUAGAAGACAUUUGAUAAUGCACUCCAAAUUUCUUGAGCGGUGGGUAAGCGUAAGUAACACUUCAUAAUUUCUUGACUCAUGGACAUUAACAACCAUUUCUUCACCUUUUGAUUCUCAGCAUACCAUUUUUCAUAUCUAUCUUCUGACUCUUUUGGUGGAUUUGUUUUACCUCGAAUGUAGGAAAGUUUUUCCCGUUCAACAAUAUGCAUCUUCAUAAGUUGUGACCAAACGUCAUAGUUUGAUUCAAUCAAAAUAAUUCCUAGAUUAAAAGUACCUUCAGAUUGAAAAAUAAUAGUAUUUUUUUCACUUUUUUUUUUUUUUUGAUGAUUAAAUAUAAUAUAUAUUCAACUGGUGAUGUAGGAAGAAAGUGACAAAAAAUAGGGGACCCUAAAUAGAAAGAAAGAUUUUUCAAGAAAAUCAAAUAAUAGAGAAAAAAAUAGUAGAAGACACUGAAAGUACAAAUAAGCAUGCCAGGUUGUAGGACAAUGUCAGUUUUCCGGCAACUGUCCAAGAUUUCAGUUCCAUGGCUUUGAUACCAUCUUCAAAUUAAUGAAUGAGGUUUUUUUUUUUCUCAUUCAUAUUUUUAUUCAUUCAUGUACAGAGUAUAUAUAAAGGGUAAUCAUCAUUCUAAGAAUGGGAAAAAAUGAUACAAGGAAUGAAUGAUAUAAGGAAACAAUGAUACAAGGAAAGGAAUGACAUAAGGAAAGAAUGAUACAAGGAAAGUAUUCCUAAUAUCUCAACAACUGGUAUAUCACUUUUGACGAUAAAAGGAAUUUUAGUUAAAAGUGAGGUUAAUUGCUCUAUUGUAAUGAUAUGAUAUAAAAUGUCUCUUUGAUGGAAAAAAUUGAAAAUUGAGUUCAUAGAAUUUAGUCUGAAAAUUAUUGAAAAAUGUCUCAAAUUCUUAAUUAAUAAAAAUUUAUUUUUACACAGAAUAUUAUAUAAAAUAUUUUCUAAAUUAAUACAUCAUUGUAAUAUUAUAUUAUUUUAUAGAAUAAACAAAGUUAUUAGAAAUAUCUUAAUAAAUAUUUUAGGUUAAGAAAAGAAAAAGUUAAUAAGAUAAAUAUGAGCUUUUAGAGACUACACAUUGUUUUAUCUUAGUAUCGGAAGGCCAGGUUGCGGAGAAGUUGAACAUGGAUAAAGCAUAUGGGCUGGCCUUACAAUGAGCCGCCCCACUAAUGGUGCACCCACAGCCGAGGCUGUCACCCCAAGGUUUCGGGAAGUAAAUGAGGUUGUUUUCCCAUGAUUAAAACAGAAAACUUGAUGAUGGAUUUGGCUGAAUAAUUAUGACGUUGGAGAGCGAUGGAGUGUAGUAGUUUCGUGAUGGGUUUUCCCUCAGCCACGUGGACGUUAAUAUUGUAAACGUUGACUCUGAAGGAGCUAUCUAAUAAUGCAAUAUGUCGGAUUAAAAAUUAAAUUAUUUACCCCACAAUAUGAAUGUCGAGCGUAGGAGAAGAAAGUCAUAUGAUGAAUAUGAAGGCAUCACAAUCUAAAGAGUCGUGCAAUGCGGCGAGUGAAUAUGACCAAUAAAAGCACGAAAACUGAACGGGAGUCGCUUCAUCUGUCCUGCAUUCAUUUACAUUCUUUGCCCCAUUGGUUAAGAAUCCGUCCUGUUCUAGGAAAAUUUUUCCCAUCAUUUCGAAUGUCUUCCCAUUUAAAUAUGAAAUUUUGAAUGGUCGUGUAUGAUUUUUUUCUUACUAGCCAUUAUUUUGAGAAUAAUACAAGUUUGACCAACACAACUAUGUCUUUUUUCCUCAUAAUAAAUUUCCAAUCUUGAUUCAUUAUAAUUUUUUAAUGAAAUAAUUCAAAAAAACUACAUACAAGUUGUUAUACAUCUUGCUCAUGUGUGUAAAAGGAAAGAGAUACAUCCUUGUUUUUCAACUAUUAAAAUGAUAUCCUUGGGCCAAUUCUUUCAUUACGUCUGAAUAUUUUGGGAGAAUUGUGGAACCAUUUUGAGACAGUGAAUUUAAAUAGCAUUUUUAAUAUUUUAAAAAAUUAUUAUUAAAAACGUUUUUUAAUAUCCAUUUUUUCAACAUCAGGACCAAGAACGCAAAAUAAAAUAUAAUUUUCCCUACUUGCUACCAAAGAUUUUGGUUGAUUAUUUUUCUGAUAAUAAAUAAUAUUUUAUUUUGCGUUCUUGGUCAAAAAAUGGAUAUUAAAAUAUAUAUAAUUUUUCAGCUACAACAGCGCGCACGGAGCACGCUCUUAGUUAGAACACACUUGUACCCGUCAUCUUUGAUUUAGCUAACCCCGAAUCUCCCUUUAUAUUCCUCUCUGGAUUCAGGAGCCGAGACUCAGAGAUAAGCCAAGAAGCCAUGAAUCCCCUGGCGCUGAUUUUCUGCACGGCUCUCUUCUGCAUUCUCCUCUACCACUUCCUCACGCGCCGCUCUGUCCGCCUCCCUCCGGGGCCCAAGCCAUGGCCGAUUGUGGGGAACCUCCCUCACCUGGGCCCCGUCCCUCACCACUCCAUUGCUGCGCUCGCUAAAACCUACGGCCCUCUCAUGCAUCUCCGUAUGGGCUUCGUCGACGUCGUGGUGGCCGCCUCCGCCUCCGUUGCCGCUCAGUUCUUGAAAACUCAUGAUGCUAAUUUCUCCAACAGGCCUCCUAAUUCAGGUGCCAAGCAUAUCGCCUACAACUAUCAGGAUCUGGUGUUCGCUCCCUACGGCCCCCGGUGGCGCAUGCUCCGCAAGAUUUGCUCCGUCCACCUCUUCUCUGGCCAAGCCUUGGAUGAUUUUCGCCAUAUCCGACAGGUACCUAGCUUAAUCUCUCUCAGAAAUGAAUCCUUUCUCAAUUUUAAUCCAUUUUUCGUUUUUUCUUCCUGAUCGCUUCUAUUAUUUCAUCGCAAAUUAAGAUCUGGUUACACAGAUUUCAUUUUUCCAUAAAAACAUGUAAGAAAAUAAUAGCAUGUGUUCACCAUCAUUGUCUAGUCCUGUCAGAGUAUUUGCAGUCUCCACUCUCUCUGUAUACACUACACAUCUUUUUGAAGAAGGCCCGGCUCCACAAGUUUAUUAUUACUAUUUUUUUAAUGAUUUUUUUUAGUAAGGUUGUUUUCCUCCGGCAGUGGAAGUCCGUGCAUUCACGCGAGACUUUACCAUUUAAUAUUUAAAAUUAUAUUUUUUUAAUGUUUGUUUUAUAAAAAUACUGAACUGACAAAUGAGUUGCCGCUGAGUUUUAUCCAAUUUUGAUGAUUAGAAAAAUAAUCAGUAGAUGAAAAUUUAUGUGACGUACAGGAGGAGGUUUUGGCGCUAAUGCGCGCACUUGCGAGGGCGGGUCAAACGCCGGUGAAGUUGGGGCAGCUGCUGAACGUGUGCACUACCAACGCCCUAGGGCGGGUGAUGUUAGGCAGGAGAGUGUUCGGCGACGGCAGCGGAGGCGAAGAUCCGAAGGCCGACGAGUUCAAAGAGAUGGUGGUGGAGCUGAUGGUCCUGGCCGGAGUUUUCAACAUCGGCGACUUUGUGCCGGCGCUGGAAUGGCUGGACCUGCAGGGCGUAGCUUCCAAGAUGAAGAAGCUCCAUGCUCGGUUUGACGCUUUCCUGGGCGCCAUCGUGGAGGAGCACAAGAUCAGCGGCUCUGCUGGUUCCGAGCGUCACGUGGACUUACUCAGCACGUUGAUCUCGCUGAAGGAUAAUGCCGACGGUGAGGGAGGCAAGCUCACCGACGUUGAGAUCAAAGCCUUGCUCUUGGUAUCUCUCAUUAUCCAUUUUCUGUCACUGUUUCGUCUACUUCUUGUGGUAAUUUGGCACCUGAAAUUGAUGAAAACCGUCUGUUGACAUGGCAGAACUUGUUCACAGCUGGAACUGACACCUCAUCCAGCACAGUGGAGUGGGCCAUUGCAGAGCUCAUUCGCCACCCUGAAAUGAUGGCCCAAGCCCAACAAGAGCUGGACGCAGUGGUGGGCCGAGGCAGGCUUGUAACUGAUUUGGACCUGCCCAAACUUACCUAUCUCCAAGCCAUAGUCAAGGAAACCUUCCGCCUGCACCCAUCCACGCCCCUCUCCCUCCCUCGGAUGGCGGCGGAGAGCUGUGAGAUCAACGGCUACCACAUCCCCAAAAACGCCACUCUUCUAGUGAACGUGUGGGCCAUAGCGCGGGACCCAGAGGUGUGGGAGGAGCCACUAGAAUUCAGGCCCAACAGGUUCCUCCCAGGAGGGGAAAGACCAAAUGCGGACGUGAGAGGGAAUGAUUUUGAAGUGAUUCCAUUCGGGGCUGGCCGGAGAAUAUGCGCGGGGAUGAGCUUGGGACUGAGGAUGGUGCACCUGUUAACCGCGACGCUUGUUCAUGCGUUCAACUGGGAGUUGCCGGAAGGCCAGGUGGCGGAGAAGCUGAACAUGGAUGAGGCAUAUGGGCUGACCCUACAACGAGCCGCCCCACUCAUGGUGCACCCACGGCCAAGGCUGUCACCCCAAGUUUUCGGGAAGUAAAUGAGGUUGUUUGCCCAUAAUUAAAGUAGAAGACUUGGUGAUGGAUUUGGCUGAAUAAUUAUGAUGUUAGAGAGCGAGUGUAGUAGUUUUGUGAUGGGUUUUCCCUCAACCACCUGCAUGUUAAUACUGUAAACGAUGAUUCUCAAGGGGUAUCUAAUAAUGCAAUAUGUUGG
Molecule: long non-coding RNA, 23706 nt
Filed under: Vitis vinifera (wine grape)
Lineage: Eukaryota; Viridiplantae; Streptophyta; Magnoliopsida; Vitales; Vitaceae
Description: long non-coding RNA (VVIN_LNC005723)
Source: RNAcentral